UAGAAACAGAAAUGGUCAAAUCAUAACACU
RNAcentral lists this non-coding RNA (30 nucleotides) under Rattus norvegicus (Norway rat). The record is from RNAcentral. Lineage: Eukaryota; Metazoa; Chordata; Mammalia; Rodentia; Muridae.